RNAcentral lists this ribosomal RNA (484 nucleotides) under Gymnangium allmani. Its description in RNAcentral is "partial 16S ribosomal RNA". It matches the Rfam family "Bacterial large subunit ribosomal RNA", at positions 1914 to 2559 of the family's 2925-position model. The record is from RNAcentral. Lineage: Eukaryota; Metazoa; Cnidaria; Hydrozoa; Leptothecata; Aglaopheniidae.
AAAUCCAAUGGCUGCAGUAACCAUAACUGUAACAAUGUAGCACAAUCAAUCGUCACUUAAUUGGUGAAUAGUAUGAAUGGCUGUACGAAAAUCUCACUGUCUCAUAGUAUAAUAAAAAGAAAUUAAAACAACAGUAAAGAUGUGUUUAAAAUUGUAAGACGAGAAGACCCUAUAAAGCUUAACUAUUAAAUUUAAACUAAUUAAAGUAGUUUAAAAAAAGAUAGUUUCAUUGGGGCGAUGGUUUUUUAUAUAAAACAAAAACAAAACAAAAAACAAUUUAAUAAAAAAAAAAUUUUACUGUACAACUUAUAAGUUUAACAGUUACAAAGUAGGUUAAAAACGACCCAUUAACCCCCUAAAAAAAGGUUAAUGACUAAUAAAUAAAAGCUACUUUAGGGAUAACAGGAUAAUUUUAUCAAGAAGUCCGCAUUCAAAAUAAAGUUUAUUACCUCGAUGUUGAAUUGAGAUAUCCUAGAGGUGUAGC